GAUGAAGAACGCAGCGAAAUGCGAUAAGUAAUGUGAAUUGCAGAAUUCAGUGAAUCAUCGAGUCUUUGAACGCACAUUGCGCCCCCUGGUAUUCCGGGGGGCAUGCCUGUCCGAGCGUCAUUGCUGCCCUCAAGCACGGCUUGUGUGUUGGGCCGCCGUCCCCGGUUUCCCCCGGGGACGGGCCCGAAAGGCAGCGGCGGCACCGCGUCCGAUCCUCGAGCGUAUGGGGCUUUGUCACCCGCUCUGUAGGCCCGGCCGGCGCCAGCCGACACCCAACUUUAUUUCUAAGGUUGACCUCGGAUCAGGUAGGGAUACCCGCUGAACUUAAGCAUAUCAUAAGCGGAGGA
Molecule: unclassified non-coding RNA, 347 nt
Filed under: soil metagenome
Description: partial contains 5.8S ribosomal RNA, internal transcribed spacer 2, and large subunit ribosomal RNA
Rfam family: 5.8S ribosomal RNA (bases 1-120)
Source: RNAcentral